RNAcentral lists this long non-coding RNA (710 nucleotides) under Homo sapiens (human). RNAcentral describes it as "HSALNT0250369". Lineage: Eukaryota; Metazoa; Chordata; Mammalia; Primates; Hominidae. The record is from RNAcentral.
CUCCUUCAAACACACUGUCCUUAACUAAGUGGUUCACGUGAGUUUUGGCCUGUAGUAGAUGCUGUAGUAUGUUACCCAGAUUUUCUCUUCAGCAUUGAAGCACUUAUUCCCCAGUUGCCAGAACCAUUAGCAGCUGAUUGUUCCAAUUUGCAUCCUGAUAUGGUUUGGUUCUAUGUCCCCAUCCAAAUCUCUUGCUGAAUUAUUAUCUUCAGGGUUGGAGAAGAGGCUUAGUGGGAGGUGAUUGUACCAUUGGGAUGGAUUUCCCCCUAGCUGCCUUGUGGUAGGGAGUGAGUUCUCAUGAGAUCUGAUGGUUUAAAAGUGUGUAGCACUUCCCCCUUUGCUCUGUCUCUCCUGCUGCCAUGUAAAGACAUGCUUGCUUCCUUUUCACCCUUCUGCUAUGAUUCUAAGUUUCCCGAGGCUUCCCAGCUAUGCUUCCUGUACAGCCUGCAGAACUAAUGAAAAGUUUGUAUUCUGUUCUUGGGAAAGCUCUCACCCCAUUGACUGGUGAAUGUGGGAUUCAACCAUCUGGCACUUUUUUUCCCCAAGUUUGGACAUUUCUGAAGUGACUACAGAGCUUUUGUGGGAUUGGCCGAGCCUCUGUUGCAAACGGAUCACUCUUAAAUUUCACCUUCUGCCUAAUCUUGCCUCUAUCACUUGCAUCAUGGAAAAGUCCCCAGAGAGUACUCUUCAAUAAACCUUUUAUAUGAAAA